This 501-nucleotide ribosomal RNA is filed under the name uncultured bacterium. RNAcentral's name for it is "bacterial SSU rRNA". It matches the Rfam family "Bacterial small subunit ribosomal RNA", at positions 24 to 518 of the family's 1533-position model. The record is from RNAcentral.
UCAGGAUGAACGCUAGCGACAGGCUAACACAUGCAAGUCGAGGGGCAGCACGGGAGUAGCAAUACAACUGGUGGCGACCGGCGCACGGGUGAGUAACGCGUAUGCAACCUACCUAUCAGAGGGGAAUAACCCGGCGAAAGUCGGACUAAUACCGCAUAAAACAGGGGCACCGCAUGGUGAUAUUUGUUAAAGAGAUUCGCUGAUAGAUGGGCAUGCGUUCCAUUAGGUAGUUGGUGAGGUAACGGCUCACCAAGCCGACGAUGGAUAGGGAACUGAGAGGUUGGUCCCCCACACUGGUACUGAGACACGGACCAGACUCCUACGGGAGGCAGCAGUGAGGAAUAUUGGUCAAUGGGCGGGAGCCUGAACCAGCCAAGUCGCGUGAAGGAAGAAGGAUCUAUGGUUCGUAAACUUCUUUUGCAGGGGAAUAAAGUGCAGGACGUGUCCUGUUUUGUAUGUACCCUGAGAAUAAGGAUCGGCUAACUCCGUGCCAGCCGCCGC